This 466-nucleotide ribosomal RNA is filed under the name uncultured bacterium. Its description in RNAcentral is "partial 16S ribosomal RNA". It matches the Rfam family "Bacterial small subunit ribosomal RNA", at positions 28 to 523 of the family's 1533-position model. The record is from RNAcentral.
GAUGAACGCUGGCGGCGUGCCUAACACAUGCAAGUCGAGCGAUCUCUUCGGAGAGAGCGGCGGACGGGUGAGUAACGCGUGGGUAACCUGCCCUGUACACACGGAUAACAUACCGAAAGGUAUGCUAAUACGGGAUAAUAUAUAAAAGUCGCAUGGCUUUUAUAUCAAAGCUUUUGCGGUACAGGAUGGACCCGCGUCUGAUUAGCUAGUUGGUAAGGUAACGGCUUACCAAGGCGACGAUCAGUAGCCGACCUGAGAGGGUGAUCGGCCACACUGGAACGGAGACACGGUCCAGACUCCUACGGGAGGCAGCAGUGGGGAAUAUUGCACAAUGGGCGAAAGCCUGAUGCAGCAACGCCGCGUGAGCGAUGAAGGCCUUCGGGUCGUAAAGCUCUGUCCUCAAGGAAGAUAAUGACGGUACUUGAGGAGGAAGCCCCGGCUAACUACGUGCCAGCCGCCGCUGUAA